RNAcentral lists this ribosomal RNA (406 nucleotides) under uncultured bacterium. RNAcentral describes it as "bacterial SSU rRNA". It matches the Rfam family "Bacterial small subunit ribosomal RNA", at positions 355 to 773 of the family's 1533-position model. The record is from RNAcentral.
UGGGGAAUAUUGCACAAUGGGCGGAAGCCUGAUGCAGCGACGCCGCGUGAGGGAUGACGGCCUUCGGGUUGUAAACCUCUUUCAGCAGGGACGAAGCGCAAGUGACGGUACCUGCAGAAGAAGCGCCGGCCAACUACGUGCCAGCAGCCGCGGUAAGACAGAGGAGCCAAGCGUUGUCCGGAUUGACUGGGCGUAAAGCGCACGCAGGCGGCCCAAUACGUGGGGUGUGAAAGCUGGCGGCUUAACUGCCAGAUGCCAUCCCAUACGGCUGGGCUCGAGCCCUGCAGAGGUCCAUGGAAUUGCCGGUGUAGUGGUGAAAUGCGUAGAGAUCGGCAGGAACACCCAGGGGGAAACCAGUGGACUGGGCAGGAGCUGACGCUCAGGUGCGAAAGCGUGGGGAGCGAAC